GCAGCACUGCCCUGGCACCAAAGGAGCUGAUAAGACGCACGGAAACACCGUGUCAGGGGCUGUGCAGCCACGCUAAUGCUACAUUUAGAUGCAAGAAUUUGACAGCUUCAUUACUGUGAUUGUCCCUGAGCACUUAUGUAAGGAAAGAGGCUGUUCUCCCCACCAGCUCCCAGGCCCACAGCAUCUAUGCCUGAGCUCCUCAGCAUUUGGAGAGGAGGUGGCCACUGGUUGUACUGACCCCAGACCACUGUCAUAGGGUAAACAUUCCAGGCACCUCAUUUCCUCCUCACAACCACUCUGCCAGGCAGAUAUUGUUAUCACCAUUUAACAAGGAAAAGGAUGAGAUUCAGAGAGGCACAGUAACCACGCUUUCAGCUGCGAGGUACAGAACACUCAGCCACAAGUGGCUGAGACGCUCACAGGCUUCUGGGGCUCCUAGGAGGCCUUGUCACAUUCCACAUUUUUUCUGCAAGAGCUCAAAAGUUGCCUUCUCUGGAAGCUUCCGUGACUUCAGCAGAUGUUUUCCCCUUUCUUGGUUCACUCUGUCAUUUUGGUGGAGCACAUCUUCAGUAGCCUCUUGGAUGCAUGGGAGCAUGGAGCCUGCCAGCCUGCUUCUACCUGGAUCCUAUUUGCCACCUUGGAACAGAAGCUGUCUUGUCAAUGUGUGCAAUGAUUACAUUGGGGGAAGAUGGAGAAGCACAGAACAUUUAUCAACAUAUACCAUAUGUUGGGCUAUAAAACAAGUCUUUUUUUUUGAGGAAGAUUAGCCCUGAGCUAACAUCUGCCACCAAUCCUCCUCUUUUUGCUGAGGAAGACUGGCCCUGAGCUAACACCUGUGCCCAUCUUCCUCUAUGCUAUGUCGGAUGCCUACCACAGCAUGACUUGACAAACAGUGCAUAGGUCUGCACCUGGGAUCCGAACCAGCUAACCCCAGGCCACCAAAGUGGGAAGUGUGCACUUAACCACUGUGCCACCGGGCCAGCCCCCAAACAAGUCUUAAUAAAUUUAAAAGAAUUGAAAUCACACAGAGUAUACCUUCUAUGUGACCCAAGUGGAAUUUAGGUAGCAAUAAAUGAUGGAAAGUUAUCCAGAAAAACCCUAAAUUUUUGGAAAUUAAACAACAUACUUCUGAAUAACCCAUAAAUCAAGUAAGAAAUCUCAAAGGAAAUUAGAAAAUAUUUUGAGCUGAAUGAUAACGAAAAUACAACAUAUCAGAAUUUGUGGGUUACAGCAAAAGCACUGGGAAAGUUAUACACUUAAACACUUAUGUUAGAAAAG
This 1278-nucleotide long non-coding RNA is filed under the name Equus caballus (horse). RNAcentral's name for it is "lncRNA (ENSECAG00000050203.1)". Lineage: Eukaryota; Metazoa; Chordata; Mammalia; Perissodactyla; Equidae. The record is from RNAcentral.